GCAUAAGAAUGUUCGCCUUAAAGCUUCGCAUCCUGCGAAAACGGCUAACUAAUUUGCAUAGGUAAA
This 66-nucleotide small RNA is filed under the name Lysinibacillus sp. AC-3. RNAcentral's name for it is "Bacillaceae-1 RNA". It matches the Rfam family "Bacillaceae-1 RNA". Lineage: Bacteria; Bacillati; Bacillota; Bacilli; Caryophanales; Bacillaceae. The record is from RNAcentral.